Molecule: non-coding RNA, 4920 nt
Organism: Sus scrofa (pig)
Lineage: Eukaryota; Metazoa; Chordata; Mammalia; Artiodactyla; Suidae
Source: RefSeq, a predicted model, not a curated record
CUCGGAUUGGGGGAGGGGAUUCUUCGGGCGCACCGCCCUCCCGACGCGCUGCGCAGCAGCGCGCGCUGUGCUAGGCUGUUGCUCCCGCUGGAGUGUAGUUUCCUCUAGUACCCCCGCCCCCCGCACCCGGUUGGCCGCUGGGAACUCGGUAGGGACGCCAGGUCUGGAUCAAGGUUUGCUGCGGUACUCCUCCUACCUAUACCUGGAGAAGCAUGCCUUGGCUGGUUCUCAAUCCCAGAAUGCUGAGAGACACAUGUAGCAGAGCCACUGCAGCUGGCCCAGGAACCUGAAGUAAGAAGCAGAUCCAGCCAGGGCCACAACACUGAAGCCUUCAAGCAGGAUGGGUUUAUGGAAGAAACAGAGAAAAAUCUAAUUUGUUACCAAGAACUUCGUAAGGCAACAGACAUAAAACUAUUGUGGCCUUACCCAAAUGAAUGCCUUACCUCUGUUGAGUUUUAUUAUAGCCAUUCAUUUAUAUAUGACUGAAACAAUAUGCUGUACAGCAGAAACUGACAAUACUGUAAAUCAAUUAUACAAAAUUAAUUUUUAAUUUUAUAAAAACCUAAUAAACCAAAAAAGAAAAUAAAUCUCACAUUUAAUUUGAUAAUUUCUUCUUUCUGAAAAUAAUAAAGUAUUCUCAAGACCUUACCUGAAGCUAAGGAGGGUAAAUCACUGUCUUAGUCACACCAAAGUUUUGUAGAAAAUUUACUCAAAUAGUUUUCAUGCGGCAAGCUAUUUAGAUCUUACUGAUGAGACAAAUCACACAAGUGUAAAAGAAAAGAAAACUUUUUUUAAAAAAAGACCAUGAGAAAAGCAUUAUUUUGUGCUAUUUAGAGAAGCUUGGGAGCUUUUCUUUUCCUUUGGUAAAUGCCACAAAGGAGAUGUUUCUCAUGAAAAUUUAACUGAUAGACAGAUUGUAACAUGAAGAAGGAUGGCCUCUGGGAAUACUUAUGGGAGAGAGCUUGGAGCCAGGACCAGUAAUUAUGAGACACCAAGGAAAAAAGCAGAGGUUGCAUAGAUGUAAAAUAUUCAAAAAAUGAUCAUGGAAAAUGAGAAGAAGAGAAAGAGCAAAUGCUUUAAAUAAAAGCAGUUCUCAUUAUAUAAAACCUGACAACAUUCACAUCUGGUAUAACAGAAAAUAUACUUGAUUUGAAUGUAUCCUUGAAAUAUAUUGAAGAAAAAUUGGAUACAUGCAUAAAACUAUGUUGGACAGAGAGAACUGGAAUUUGAAUCUUGGACCUACAUUUCCAAUUUGAGUGACCUUGAGCAAUUUUCUACAGCUUCAAAUUUAUUACUUGCAAAAUGGAACUCAUGAAAUAACAUAUGCAGACAUGCAUAACAUAUAUAGUAAGUGUUUAAAAUGUAUUAAUUGAAUCUAAAUAAUACAACCAGUUCUACACUAGAGGCAAGCGUGCCUAUUAUGGCCAAUAGAACUUGAAACAUAAGGCUCAGACCUCAGAUUUCUCAGGACCAAUCACUUGACAAGUAUCAGGAAAUAUGAUAGAUUUCUAUUAUUAUAGAUAGAGCUGAAAUACAUGGAGUGAGGCACUGAGUGUUAAAGGGAAUGAGUGUUAGGUUGUAGGAGUGAAGAAUAAAAAGACCUAGUGGAUGCAAAUUCUCUCAAUCAAAUUUAAGCUUCAGAUACAUGUGACUGAGUGACACCACAAUAAGAACAAGAUUUAGGGUCAGAUUUGCUUUCAGAUCUUGACUUUGCUUGUGUGACUUUUGUCUAGCAUUUCCAACCCUCAGAUUCCCAAUCCAUAGAAUGAGAACAAAAAUACUUACUUUUUGAUGCCUUUUAAGGAUUACAGAUGGUUUAUGAAAAAUGCCUAGCAGUUGGUAUAUAUAUGAUACAGGGAAGCUAUUGUUACUUAAAAGGCCAUGGCUCCUUCAGAGCAGAAACUGAACUUCAUGAAUCUUUAUAUCUUUCAUUGUGCUAAACACAAUGCCUGUCAUAUAUUAGGUAUAAUAAAUCUUCAUUGCAUGGAUGAAUAACCAAAACAUGCUCAUGCCUUUUGCACUAAUUGCCAUCAGAUGGAGCUUUUGCCUAAUUUGAGAGGUUUGUUUUGCCUUUAAAAGACCAACAGCAUCACCUUUGACUUCAUAUCAUAUCUCCAAAACAGAAGAAGUACAAUAGACAUAAAUUGACUGUCUGGGGUGCUUCCCUAUUAGCAGCACAUUCAGAUUCCACCUAAAUGAUUGGUUAUACUUCUGGUUUUAGACUCAGUCCUGUAUUCAUUUCCCAGCUCCACCAUGUCUGACAAGUCACUUUGGUAAAAGUUAGUUACCCCUUUGAACUUAAUUUCCUCAUUCAUAAAUAAUGACCUUAAUCGAUGUAAAAAUUAAAUGAGACAGCAUAUGUAUAAUGCCAGACAUAUAAUAGGCAGCACAAAAUUUGAAACUGAACAUAUGACUCCAAAGUUCAGGCUCCUUAUAUUACGUUUGAUUUCCAAAGGAUUUUAGGCUCCUUAAAGAAAGGAACUAUGUCUUACUCAGAAACACUUUGCAUAUAACUUGGUGCCAAGCAUAAUGCAGGGCGAAGAGUAGUAUGUAAUCAAUACUUAUGGGGCUGAAUUGCUUCCAACUGUUAGCCAUACUCUAAGUGAAUCAAGAACAUUUCUUUAGGAAAAUGUGCCUUUGGACACAAGGAACCAUAAUUGAUUCACAAAAACAAGGAAUACCAAGGAAAAUUUCUUUCCCUUCUUAAAGUUAUUAGACUGGUUGUUUGGAGGAAAAGAAAAAUAUAGACAUCACAUCCUUUCAUUUUAAUACAUCUUUAGGCAGUUAAACACUUGAUACUUUUACAUGCAAGUAAUAGAAAACCCAAAUCAAAUUGACUACAAAAGUAAGCUUAUUGUCUUAUAUGCUUGGAAGUGUGUGUCAGAAUUGGUUGAUCCAGCAGUUCAACAAUGUGAUCAAAGAUCCAGCUAUUUUCUGUCUCUCUAUUUUGAUAACAGUGUCAGCUUUAUACUGGAUGUAAGUUGUUCAGUAGUAGAAAAUAGGAUACGUGAUUAAUUUCUGGAAAGAGAAAAUCAAAGAGAACAUGUCACUCCCAAGCAUCGUACUUAAUUUUCUCUUCACAGUGUUCCUAGUUCUUAAGCAGUAAUUGUCAUCAGUGAAAUGCAGUGCAUUGAUAAGCUUAGGUUAGGGAUCCUGGCAAGGGAUAUGGUAGUAUGAUUGGAGUUAAGGUCAAUUCCUCAAACAUUAUUGCUUCUACAAAGUGGUGGGAGUAAAAUGGAGAAAGAAGGAAGGGGAUUCAGUUACCAUGUCCCCAGAAAACAUUAUUAUGUUUACCAAGAAGAUGUAAAAGUUUGGCCUGGAUGACAGAGUUGAGUUGAUUAGUAGCUGAUUAAGUAGCUACAUGGUUAACAAAUUAGAGAGAGAAGUGACAUGUCACAUACUCCACAAAUUUCCCCUUAUAUUACAUUGUCAGCUCAGAUUGGGUUAGGUUUUUCUCUACUGUGCUUUUGAAAAAAAUAGGUGUCAUUUCAUGUACAUACAGUAUAUUAAUUAUAUAAGUAUAUUCCAAUCCAACUGUGAAGUUGUUGAAAGCAGGAACUGUGUCUUACCCAUCUUUCCAGCCUCAAGACAGCACAGAAGCUGGCAAAUAUAAAAAGCUCUAUUUUCAAAUAUUAGUUAAAGAGCAAACAAUGGGUAAAAUUUCAGGAAGGGAGAUUUCAAAUCCUCACGUGGUGAAAAAAAAAACUUCCUUAUAAGAAAUGUAUUAUAUAAAUUACUAAUAAUCAUCAAUAAUUUAACCAUAAAGAAGAUUAAAGUUGAAUUAAAAUGCAUUUGAAGUCCCUUUUUAGUCUGGAAUUUGAUGAUUUUCUGAGUUCACUGAUGGAGAUCACAAUAUAUACUCCAUGAUUAUGGCCCAGAUGGGACCCAAAGAGAAAUCAGGACAUUCUGGGUGGUUGGAAGUUGCUCGAGUCAACUGUUUGAUUCAUGAAAAUUCAAACGUUUUUCCAGGGCCAUGAUUUCUAAGAAGGGAGAACAUUCCAUUCUUCAUGCCAGCUGUGAUGCCCAGUUCUUGCUGAUUGUCAUCUGAUAUGGACUUGGCAUUCUCUACCUGGUUAUGGGCCAGAUGCCAAAAAUAAAUAAAUAAAUAAAUAACCAAAACUGAAGGAAGCUCAUGAACCAACAUAGUGCCAGAAAUGGGGGAGGAAGCUUCUUUUUCUUUUUUGUCUUUUUAGGGCCACAUCCUUGGCCCCACACGUGAGGUGAUUCAGAGCUGCACCAGCUGGCCUAUACCACAACCACAGAAGCACCAGAUCUGAGCCAUAUCUGUGACCUACAUUGUGGCUCGUGGCAACACUGCCAGAUCCUUAACCCACUGAGUGGUGAGGCUAAGGAUCGAAACCAUGUCCUCGUGUAUACUAGUUGUGUUUGUUACCACUGACACAGAGUGGGAACUCUGGGGGAGGAAUUUCUUAACAGCUGGAGUAAUCAUUAGCUCAGACAAUCUCUGUUUUGUUUUGUUUGUUUAAAACAUGAUUUUUUAAGAUAAAUACUGUUGGAAUAUACUUAACUUACAAUCUUAUAUUGCUUUCAGGCAUACAGUACAGUAAAUCAGUUAUACAUAAUAUCCAUUCCUUUUCAGAUUAUUUUCCUAUAUAAAUUACUACAUAGUACUGAGUAAAUUGCUCUGUGCUAUAGAGUAGGUUCUUGUUACCUAUCUAUUUUAAAUAUAGUAGUGUAUACAUGUCAAUCCCAACCCCCUAGUUUAUCCCUCCUCCUAUGUUUCCCCUUUGGUAACUAUAAAUUUGGUUUCAAAUUCUUUGAUUAUGUUUCUGUUCUCUAAGGUCUUUGGUAUCAUUUUUAUUAUAUUCCACAUGUUGGUGUUCUCAUGAUAUUUGUCUUUCUCUGUCUUACUUCAUUUAGCAUGAUAAUCUCUAGGUCCAUACAUGUUGCUUCAAAUGU